GGAGCCCAGCUCCAUGCCAGCUGCCUCCUCUGCACCUUCAUGGCUCGGCUCCCUCUCACUGUGGCAGAGAGGGCCUGCCGAGCCCCCUGAAGUCAGCAGCCUACCGGGGGUGGCGAAGGGAGUGGAUGUCAAUCCCCAAAUGCGUGAGCUGGAAAAGACCUUGAUUCUCCAGCCACGUCAGGUCUUUUUCCAACAUGGGGCCAAGAUCAGCAUCAGCUGGGCCCCCCGUGAAGGAUGAGGUUUGGAAUGUGUGGGGCUGAAUGAAGGAGCGUGAUGCUGGGAGCCGGUUCCUGUGCCCGAGGCCCAGCGUUGGGCCACAUACUGCUGACAGGUGGUCACCUUGAACUUCUGCAGGGCAUCCUGGUGCGUCAGUCCGGCCAUCGAUUCACCGUUGAGUUCCAGGAUUUCAUCGCCUGUCGGGAGACAGAGAAAUGGCAGCUGAGAGUAGGGUUCCCGGUCAGGGGCAAUGUCUUUUCCUUGGACUCUGGUCUCGCCGACCUGCCCAGCCGCUGUACGAGGCACAAAGCACCGUGAAGGACCCUUCCUCGCUCUGAGCUGGCCCCUGAGAGGCAGGCAGGGCAGCAGCAUGGUCCCUGCCCACCCCUGGGUGUCACGUCCGCCCGGCCUCACACCAUUUGCUCCCAGGGACGGUCUCUGACGCAGCACAGCCAGCCUUCCCACAACGGUCUGUGCAGAUUGUUCUGGACUGUCAAGGUUUUGAGGGCCGACCCUGCCGUCUGUUGUUGCUGCUGCCUCUCGUCCAUGGGGGACAUUUCCUGGUACAGACUUCGGGGUGCAGUUGGAGGUGGGGAGAAAGCCCGGCCGCUCCAGGACAAGAAGACACAGGGCGCGGAGGACACAGCUCUGCACCCAGGCCCCUGCUGCCAGCUCAGCCAGGUGCUCCCCUCCCACAACGAGACAAAGGAGCCGAGAGGAGGCUGCUGACGGGAGAAAGACAGAGAGGACGCACCGCCUAUGAACCAGGAAAGGAGUUCUCGACAGACACUGAGUCUGCCGGCACCCUGAUCUUGGACUUCCAGCCUCCAGACGGUGAACGUAACUCCUGGAAAGCAUCAUACUGGGAACAACUGCCCCCUGUGAGCUGUGAGGGGCCAACCCGGCUGUCCUUCCUUCUGCAUCCACGGUGCCUCCAAAUCGUGAGCCAGAACCGCCCCUCUCGUCUUCCUCCUGCCCUGGACA
Molecule: long non-coding RNA, 1200 nt
Organism: Equus quagga
Lineage: Eukaryota; Metazoa; Chordata; Mammalia; Perissodactyla; Equidae
Exons: 6
Source: RefSeq, a predicted model, not a curated record